GGAAAUUAUUUUGAGGAAAGUGGGAGGGGAGCAGAAUGCAGCUGGAGCCGUAGGAGAGAAGAAGGUUAUAGUGAAGGUGACCACCGAUGGUAUAUAGAUGCAUGGAAGGGAACAUUUGACCAAGAACAGUGUGAACCUCUACCCCCUCUAACUGGCUGAAGAAAUGGCGAAAAUGGUGUUCACUAUGGCCCUGUCCUUUACCACUUCUACUGUGAGACCUGAGUCCGAGCCAGCAACCUGUACACAGCAUCCAGUUGAAGCUAUCAACUGCCUUUUCUCUCAGAGUGCGACAUGGGUGCACGUGGAGUGAGGAUGGAGAAAUAUCCCAUCCAAACUUGCUGGUGUACUAGUAGGAAAAUGGACAAGACAUAAUGGACUGUAAAGGAUAGUGGAGGCUCAGGUGAGAGACAUUAUCAGGGGCCAUCCACUUUGAACGUGUCAUUAAAAGGACAAACUGGAACACUAUCUGAAGAAGAACAUGAAGAAACGCAAGAAGGAUAUUUUAGAUUUUUUAAUUUAACCUUUAUUUAACUAGGCAAGUCAGUUAAGAACAAAUUCUUAUUUACAAUGACAGCCUACCCAUGACAGCCAAAUACUAACCCGGAUUCUUGGCCAAUUGUGCGCCGCCCUAUGGGACUCCUAAUCACGGCCGGUUGUGAUACAGCCUGGAAUAGAACCAGGGUCUGUAAUGACGCCUGUAGCACUGAGAUGCAGUGCCUUAGACCGCUGCGGCACUCGGGUAUCAGGUUGAUUGUAGAGGUCUGCACACUGUGAAAUGUAUAAUAAUUUAGACUAAGAAUGCAUUGCGAUACCAAUCUGUCAGAAAAGUUAAUGCUGGAAAUAUAAGAUUAAUAUACUGUAUGUCAAUGUGAAUGUGUAUUCUGCCAGUAUCGGUGUGUGCUAAAUUGAGGGUGAUAGAACCAACGUGAAACACUAAG
This 938-nucleotide long non-coding RNA is filed under the name Salmo salar (Atlantic salmon). Its description in RNAcentral is "lncRNA (ENSSSAG00000114808.1)". Lineage: Eukaryota; Metazoa; Chordata; Actinopteri; Salmoniformes; Salmonidae. The record is from RNAcentral.